AGAGUUUGAUCCUGGCUCAGGACGAACGCUGGCGGCGUGCUUAACACAUGCAAGUCGAACGGAAAGGCUCUCUUCGGAGAGUACUCGAGUGGCGAACGGGUGAGUAACACGUGGGUAACCUACCUUUCACUGGGGGACAACCGAGGGAAACUUCGGCUAAUACCGCAUGAUGUGCAGCUUCACAAGAAGCAGUACCAAAGAUAGCUUCGGCUUUCGGUGAAAGAUGGGCCCGCGGCAGAUUAGCUUGUUGGUGGGGUAACGGCCUACCAAGGCUACGAUCUGUAGCUGGUCUGAGAGGACGAUCAGCCACACUGGAACUGAGACACGGUCCAGACUCCUACGGGAGGCAGCAGUGGGGAAUCUUGCGCAAUGGGCGAAAGCCUGACGCAGCAACGCCGCGUGAGGGAAGACGGCCUUAGGGUUGUAAACCUCUUUCAGCAGGGACGAAGCUUCCAGGGUGAAUAGCCCUGUGGAGUGACGGUACCUGCAGAAGAAGCCCCGGCUAACUACGUGCCAGCAGCCGCGGUAAUACGUAGGGGGCAAGCGUUGUCCGGAAUCAUUGGGCGUAAAGCGCGUGUAGGCGGCUCGGAAAGUCUGGUGUGAAAACUUGAGGCUCAACCUCAAGGGUGUCGCUGGAUACUAUCGAGCUCGAGUCCGGAAGAGGAGAGUGGAAUUCCUGGUGUAGCGGUGGAAUGCGCAGAUAUCAGGAGGAACACCAAUGGCGAAGGCAGCUCUCUGGUACGUGACUGACGCUGAGACGCGAAAGCGUGGGGAGCGAACAGGAUUAGAUACCCUGGUAGUCCACGCCGUAAACGAUGGAUGCUAGGUGUGGGCGGUGUCGAUUCCGUCCGUGCCGAAGCUAACGCAUUAAGCAUCCCGCCUGGGGAGUACGGCCGCAAGGCUAAAACUCAAAGGAAUUGACGG
This 924-nucleotide ribosomal RNA is filed under the name uncultured Rubrobacterales bacterium. Its description in RNAcentral is "bacterial SSU rRNA". It matches the Rfam family "Bacterial small subunit ribosomal RNA", at positions 8 to 916 of the family's 1533-position model. Lineage: Bacteria; Bacillati; Actinomycetota; Rubrobacteria; Rubrobacterales. The record is from RNAcentral.